UGUCUCGGCCAUCCCCAUCACCUCAGCCUCAACUUUGCCCCUACCUGAACAAUAUCGGUACAGCAGUAUGUAAAAUACAGACUAUCUAAAGUUGAAAGAGUACUUAAAGUAUCAUUUACUUGUUCUGCAGAUGCAUUGUAUUGUCUUCAUCGGAGAUUGAAUAAUACCUAGACAGACCUGUAAUCUGACCCAUUACUUUUUUCUUUUUUUAGCCUCUCUGCUGUUUACACUGUGUCAUAAAACAAAUGGCACUGCUGUUAACUGGAAAAUCUGGUCUAGCAUGCAUGAUGUGCAUUUAGAGUGACAGUUCUGUACCUUGAUCUAGACUUAAUGGUACCACUCUGAAUGGAGCAUCUGGUAGAACAAGUCUUCCGUAGGACAUCUCCUGUGGAUUGUAAACCACAUGCCAGAACACAAAUAAACUGGAAAUUCUACAAGUCUUUUAUAAAAAUAUUUUAAAAUUGUAAGCAUGUCUUCAGCACAUCACUGUCUUCCUUAGUUAGUUUUUAAAGUGCUAUCUGAUCAAUAUCAGAUACUUAGCAUUUGGGUACCAAAUUGAUCUUAAUCCUAAAAUACAGUUAUCUAAUUUACUUGCACUGUGAAUAUCUCUGCUUUGCAUGGUCCUGAUAUAAUAAGGUUCAGAGAAAUACUAUUGCUUGUAGGAGGGUUGACACCAACCCUCAGGAACUGAAAAUAUAAGAGAUUGUAUCAAUGACUGACAGAAUAUGAUGAUUCAGCUGAUGUAAAUCUUACUUUAAAAAUCACUUAAAUACAAACCUAGUUGAUAAAUUUAAUUAAACAUCUUUUAAGACUGCUAAUGUGUUAGUAUUGGAUAAUAGUUCAGGAAGAAUUGUCAUGUAUAGUAUCAGUAAUCAUAUAUUAAACAUAUGAAAAUUUGGAUAAAAAUUUGAUCUUAAUAUAACUGCCAUCAGAUGGGAUAAAUUGUUAUUGCACAGAAGCAUUUUCUGUGAAAUCAGCAGUAAGUCUGAAUCAUAUAAUAACAGAGUCAUAGAUUGGUUUGGGUUUUAAGGGACCUUAAAGAUCAUGUAGUUCCAAAGCCCCUGCAUGCACAGGAACACCUUCCACUAGAUCAUGUUAUUCAGAGUUCCAUCUAACCUGGCCUUGAACACUUCCAGGAUCAAGGAAUCCACAGCUCAUUAUUUUUAAUAAUUUGAAAUUUGAGUACUUUUCUUCCCACUUACCUGAAAUUGAUCUAAAAUAAUUGCUGAGAAAAAUCUGCUGCUGGAAGGAGGUACUCAUACAUAAUGGUGCAGAUCUCUUCACGACUCAGUCAUGGAAAUUUGCAUUUGUAGCCAUUAAAAAGUCAUUGUUACUUAAAAAAUGGGGGGGUAGUAUAACUGUUCUUCAUAGUCACUUUGAAAAUAAUUUAGAUGUCAAAUGAC
RNAcentral lists this long non-coding RNA (1403 nucleotides) under Chloebia gouldiae (Gouldian finch). RNAcentral's name for it is "Erythrura gouldiae (Gouldian finch) lncRNA (ENSEGOG00005008345.1)". The record is from RNAcentral. Lineage: Eukaryota; Metazoa; Chordata; Aves; Passeriformes; Passeridae.